Long non-coding RNA from Bradysia coprophila, 929 nucleotides. Lineage: Eukaryota; Metazoa; Arthropoda; Insecta; Diptera; Sciaridae. The record is from RefSeq and is a predicted model, not a curated record.
UUUUGUACAAUUCAGACUGCGCGAUUUGUUUAGUGGAAAAUGUACAUAAAUAGCUAAUUGUUGUGUGAACAAAUGGCUGUAUUUAAGACAUUCAGAACAAAAUGUCAUUAAAAUUAUUUUUAAUUUGUUAAUAAAUUGACGACGAUUAAAUUUGAAAAGAUCAACAAAACUCAAGAGCCUACAAUGCGUUUGGAAGAAAGAACCGCUGAAAACUAAUCAAAGCAAUUUUACAAUGAGCUUCACAAUUUUUUAUCAGCUUCAAAGUGUUCAAGUUGAAUCAAAAUCAGUCUUUGUAAGGUUUGCAAAUGAAAACAAAAUCCUCAGAGGAAUGUGUCUUUGUUUACGUUGAGGCUAUUUAGAAUAAACUGUACAAAAAUGGUAGGUCGAUAGUUUAAUGUUUUUGAUACAGCCGACAAUACUAACUUAGAAACAUAUUCCAUAACAACUGUUAUCAAUCAAAAAACUCUGAGAAGGUGAAUGUGACACAAGUCCUAAAGUCCAUAUAAAAUGUCAGAUUCUGAUACGUUUCUUUCGAUUCGUUGUUUUCAAAGUGGUUACAAAUACAAAAACAGCUGCGUAGCUCUAGUGUGACGAAGUCAAUUCGAAAUAGCUACGAAAAGCAUGAGUGAAUAGACAUCGUUGUGUUCAUGCUUGAAGCUGGAGAGCUAUGCAAACCAAUGAAACGUCAACACCAGGUAUGGUCGAAUGUCAAACUUUGUAUGGAGCGGAGGACAUAGCGAUUUCAUAUAAACAAAAUCACCUCCCAUGAGAGUGCGUUGCUUACACGCUAAUCAGCAAAUAUGGUUCAACAAAGAAAUAGUCCUAAUUUUUGUGGCAACAUCCUUGCUAUCACAGCUGAAUACGGCCUAACACAUGCAUUACACUGUAAUACAAUUUUUGGGAAUUAAUUUUGGGAUAAAUUGGAAAGU